AAUAAACCCUUUCCUCCCCAACUUGCUUCUUGGUCAUGUUGUUUGUUCAGGAAUAGAAACCCUAACUAAGACACAUCCCUAAGCAGAAACUACUGCGGUAAGUAGUUCAACUCUGCCUGUCCUUGAACUUCAGUGAGAUCCACUCACACAGUGUGUUCUCUGUGCUGGUGGCACUGUAGUUCCUUUCCUCUUACUUCACUGACACUUACUCUGUGUGGCUGAGUUAGCACUUCACUUCUUUUUUCUCCACCAAAAUUGUUGAGUUAUAAGGUAGAUAUACAUUUAAUUGGAUAUUAGCAAUCAAGUUCUUCUUUCAAAUUAGCCGGAACAAAUUGUGUUCCUACCAGCACAUUGCAAAAGCUCCCAUCUUUGCAUACACCAAUGUUUGGGUUCUGGGGUUUUAACAUCAGCUACGCUGGUUGGCAUGUGCUAUUAUUAAUCCAUGCAGUUUAAUUUUGAAUGUGUGUAACUGGUUAAGGUUUUGGAACUGCUGCAGAUUCUGAUCUACUGCAUCCACCCAUGUGACUUUCAAAAGCCUCACGGGGUUACCAUCCUCCAAUUAGUCCUAUCUUUUACUCAUCUCCAACCCAGAACCAGCAAAUUGUCACCUAAACAAAGAACAAGCUAUAUGCGCAUGUACUAAAAGCAAAAACCCGCCAAAAGUCACCAGCCCAUUUCUGGGGCACUGGUCCAUCCCCCAGGGCACUAGCCCAACCCCUGGGGCGUUUAGCCUAUCCCUAGGGUGCAUGAGAUUCGUGGGUGUAGCUACCAGUCCUAGUUUAGACAUGUCACCAAAAAGUAUUUAAGCCACACACUUUCUGAGCCUUCUUUGUCUACCUCAAUAUGUUAUGAAGUAAAGUUAACCACGAAAGAAUCUGGCGUGUCCUGUGUCUGUUUCUGCUGGCGGGAACAGGCUCAGGAUACUUGGUGCUCGAAACCCGGGGAAAAAACGCCUUAACAACGUGCAGCACCAGGGAGGAGACCCUCAGACCAACCGGAGCAGGUUCAGAACCAUGGUGGAUUCAGCUCCGAGAGAAUACUGAUACUGGUGAAGAAAAUCUACUUUGGGUCCCAAUGCGACUGAAAAGGACUGUGAAAGAACAAUAUGAACCCCAAGAUGAUUCUCUUACUCCUGAUGAUUGAGACCGGGAUAAGUAUACCCUUGUAGGCCAAAGUAAGAUCAUGGCCAGUACCUUUACCGGUACAGUCCAAUUUGUCUACCUAGCCUUUAUUUUUUGCAAAGGAAUGUUUUUUAGAUGUGCCUUAUACACAACAAACUCCUCAAGAGCCAUAGAUGUAUAAGAGUACUAGUUUUCAUUUAAAUUAUACAUUAUGCUUUGUGCAUAAUGUGGAUAAACUUUUUAUACCCUAUAUAUUUUUAAAGAAAAAGAUUAUCGCUAAUUGGGCAGAUCCCAUUAUCCAAAAUAAAGUGAGCUCUAGAGUGUUAUUUAAUGCUUUAAUACAAAUUGCUCAAGGGCCACAACCAAGAUCAGUGAUGUUGAAAAUAAUGUAACUUCAUAUAUAAACAUCACCACUAUCAGGAUAAAGAGAAAUGUGACUAUUCCCAAAAGAUCACGAUAGCCUGUUGGCAAUGCUACUGCUAUAUGCAGCAUGUCUUGGUCAUUCAGACCUCGAAUUUCCUAUAGUUUUUUCACCUUGUCAAUCAAAUGUUUUUCCUCGAAAAGAAUUAGGAAAGGGUUUCGUUUUGUCAUCACCAUUAGAUUAUGCUGUUAUGUAUGGUAAAGGAGAUGCUACAGAGAAAGAAAAUAUUUGGCCAUAUUACCGAUAGAUUUUAAGUAAUGAGGCAGAUGCUAGUACCAGUUUGUCAACCUUUGCACUGUUGACUAGAACCUUUGAUGAGAUAUUUAAUGUUUCUGCCACACUUUCCAAUAUCUCUACUCAUUUGAAUAAUGUGACAUCUAAUAGAGUUAUCGAAAAUAUGACUACUCCUCCAAUAGAAGUUUGUUUCAAUUUUCCACGUUUCUUUAUAUUGGCUGAAUUUCAAUAUAAUACAGAAUGGUUAGAUUCUACAAAUGUCACUUGUUUUUUGAUACAAUGCUGAAAUGAAAUUAAUUUCUUAGCCUUAGUGGUACAUUUACCAACCUUUGUCCCUGUGCCUGUUGAGGCAGAUCCAAAGAAGUUCCCAAUCAUGAGUCUUGUCCGGCAGAAGAGAGAUUUUGGAAUCACAGCCGCCACUGUUACUGCCAUUGCAGUGUCCGCAGCAUCCGCGGUUACUACAGAAAUUGCUAUGGCCUAUCAAGUCAAUAUUGCUGAUACUAUAAGUCAGAUAACAGAAAAAAACGUCUGAGGCAUUGCUUACCCUGCAAAGGGUGGAUUCUCAUAUUGCCUCAGGAUCAUACAAAUGAGUUGUGUGGCAUCAACUUUACAGAUGUGCAUUACUCCUGUUGUGUAUACUAAUUAUUCUUUUAUUAAAAGUACAGGUCUAUCGAAUUAUCUGAAAGGGGAACUGGUCGCAGAAGCUGGAAAGGUUGCAGACGAAGCUACAGAUACAGAUCCUGAACCUUAUUGGAACCAGAGUGGAACCAGUGACCCUUGGAGACUUCACCUCUUGACUUACCUCUGCAUUUUUCUCACUUCAAAGAAUGGGUGGGGGUGGCUCUGUUUAGCGCAGCCCUGUGUUGUGGAUUAGUGCUUAUACUAUGACUGGUUUGCAAACUCAGAUCUCAGCAGAAACGUGACAAGGUGGUAAUUGCUCAAGCACUUGCUGCCAUAGAGCAAGGCACCUCCCCUGAAAUUUGGCUAUCUAUUCUCAAGAAUUAGUUGGCAUUUGAGUUCUCUGCCUUUGCAUUCCACGAAUUUGUGGAUACAUUGCAUUGAGAUGAGAGAAACUCAACGAUCAUUGAUCAACCCGUGUGCAUUGCUGAGGUUUCCUCAUUGCAUGUGAUAGAAUGACCAUGAUUUCCCCACUAAUUUAUUUUUGGCUGGCCUCUUCUGUAGAGUUCACCCUAGGCCAUUUAGCAGUUGUAGUCACACAGCACUGUGGUAUCCAGAGACGGGCAACUUUCCUCGUGCACAGACCAACCUAAGACAAUGGGGCCCGGUGGUGAUAGGGUUACCCGAUAACGGGUAAGGCUGUGACAUUGGAGGAACGACCUAAAACAGGGGCCACAGCAGAUGGACGUAACUACAGAGGCCUAGACCAGCCUCAUUUUUAUUAAAACAUAAAGGGGGAGAUGUGGAGAGCCGCAAUAACAUUUACCAUCUUAAGAUGGCGCUGGCUCCGCAGUGCCUUAUGCCACCUAAACAAAGAACAAGCUAUAUGUGCAUCUGCUAAAAGCAAAAACCCACCAAAAGUCACCAGCCCAUUUCCAGGGCACCGGUCCAUCCCCCAGGGCACUAGCCCAACCCCUGGGGCGUUUAGCCUAUCCCUAGGGUGCAUGAGAUUUGUGGGUGUAGCUACCAGUCCUAGUUUAGACACGUCACCAAAAAGUAUUUAAGCCACACACUUUCUGAGCCUUCUUUGUCUACCUCAAUAUGUUAUGAAGUAAAGUUAACCAUGAAAGAAUCUGGCGUGUCCUGUGUCUGUUUCUGCUGGCGGGAACAGGCUCAGGAUACAGUUCCACCUACUUUUUGUAAGUGACAUCAUUUUUGUUCAUGGCUGAAUAUUCUACUAUCAUAAAUAUGUGUAUUACAUAUUCUUCAUUUAUUAAUAAGAGAAAAGGUAUCUUAGUAAUUUUCUAACUUGUCUAUUAUAACUGCCAUAUUAAAUAUGAAUAUAUUGAAAUCUUUAUUUUCUAAUAAGUUUUAUUUUUUCAUUAUGUGACAGAGGAGGUAUAUCUAGAUGAGAUGUUGGGACUAUUUCACAUUUUUCUUAUAAACUUCAUACUGAUUUACAUAGUCACUAAAAUAAUUGAUAUUACCCCCAAUAUUAUUUAAGGGUUCCUCCUCAUCGCUGCUACAUCUUGGCUUCUUCAGUGCCUAGAGUUGAAUUCUAGAGACCUUAUACCUUCCUGGUUGGAUCUGUUCAUAGGCAUUGUUUAAAGUUAUUAUGAAGAGUUUUUUUUUUUUUUUUUUCUGAUUUCUUUCCUAGCAUGUUCAUUAUUGGUGAAAGCUACUAAAUUAUAUAUGUUGAAUUUUUAUUUGCCUACUUAGUGAAUAAUAUUUUUUACAUCUAAGAGUUUUCUGGAGCAGUUCCAAUAUCUUUCAGAACAAUGUCACCUAGAAAUAAUUUACUUUUUCUUUCCUAUUUGUAUCACUUCAAUUCCUUUUGUCUUGUUGCUCUAGUUAAGACAUUCAACAGUAUAUUGAAAGCAGUGUUCUUCCAUGGCCUCUGUAUCAGUUCCUAACUCCAGGUUUCUGCUUAAGUUCCUGACUGAGUACCUUCAAGUAGGGCAAACACUAGUCUAUAGAGGUGAAGGUUGUAGGUAGUUUAACUCUAUAUGUUCAAUAAAUUAUGUAGGUGAUUUCUUCAACAAUAGAGCUUAUUGUCAGUAUGUGAAGAACAAGCAAUAGCCUUGACAAUAGUCUGGGUUGUUUGGGACUUCUCUUGAGGCCCCUUUGACCAACAACUUGAUUAGAUGCAAUCCAUUUCCAGCACUAGAAGCUUCAUUUAGUGAUGAAAGAUGUCCAACUCCAGCCCUGAGUCUGAUUAUUUUUUGUCAUCUUCUCCUUUUGGGUAUGAUUGUUGUUUGUUCUAAAGCUUUUAUGUAUGCUACUAAGCUACUUCAUGAUAUCUCUCCAAUGUAGACAUUUAGUGUUAUGAAUUUGCCUCUUGAAACUAAUUUCAUGGUGUCUCAUAACUUUUGAUAUAUUCUGCUCUCAUUUUCAUUCAAUUCUAAAAAGUCUAAUUUUUUUCUUAAUUCUGUAUUGACUCAUUCUUUAUUCAGUAGUGAGUUGUUGAGUUUCUAUGAGUUUGCAGACUUUCUGUUGGUUAUAUUGUUGUUGGAAUCCAGCUUUAAUCUGGGGUGAUCAGAUAGGAUGCAGGGAGUUAUUGCAACUUUCUUGUAUCUGUUGAGACUUGUUUUGUCUAACUAUGUGGUCAGUUUAGGAGAAAGUUCCAUGAGAUGUUACAAAGAAGGUAUUUGGUAAAAUAUUUGGGUGAACUAUUUGGUGAAGAAGAUUUGAGUGAGAUGUUUUGUAAAUAUCUGUUGGGUCCAUUGGGUUUAUAAUGUCAGUUACCUUCAAUAUAUUUCUUUUCACUGAAUGACUGGUCUAUUGUGGGAGUAGGGUAAUGAAGUUACCCAUUAUCAAUGUGUGAGAGUCAAUAUGUGAUUUUAGCUAUGUGUGUUUCUUUUAUGAACUUGAGUGCCUUUGUAUUUGAUAUAUAGAUGUUCAAUGUCUUGGUGGUGGAUCUGUCCUUUGAUGAGUAUGUGGUGUCCUUCCCUAUCUCUUCUGGAUAGUUUUGGUUUAAAGUCUAUCUUGUUUUUCAAAUAUUAAAAGAGCUACUCCAGCUUAAGGCUUAGGUACAUUUGCUUGGAAUAUCGGUUUGUGUUCUUUAUCUUAAAGUGAUGUACAUCCUUGAUGUUAAGCUAUGUUUCUUGGAUAUAGCAGAAGGAUGAAUCCUGUUUUUUGCAUGCAUUAUAAUUACUUUGUGUCUUUUUAUUGUAGAAUUGAAAUCAUUGAUAUUGUGAAUUAUAUAUGAACAGUGAUUGUUGAUUUCCAUUUUUGCUGGCUAGUUUUAUGUCAAUUUGACAAAAGCUAUAGUCUUUAGAAAGGAGGGAGGCUUAAUUGAAAAAAAAAAGCCUCUAUAAAAUCAGGCUUUAGGCAAACCUGUAGGGCAUCUUCUUAAUUAGUGGAUGGUGGAGGGUCCAGUGCAUUAUAGGUAGUGUCACCUCUAGGCCAGUGAUCCUGUGUACUAUAAGAAAGCAGGCUGAGCAGGCUGGAAAAAACAAGUCCAGUAAACAAUACUCUUUUUUAAAAGACUUUAUAAUUUUAUUUUAUUUUUAUUAGAUAUUUUCUUUAUUAAUUUAUUUUUUUAUUUCAAAUGUUAUCCUGUAGCCUCCCAUAAGCCUGAAGCAGGCUGAGUCAGGCUUGACUUUGUUGCCACUAAGGAGAUCACCUGGGGUGGAGCCUGCCUCCCUGGAUCCCUCUAUUGUUCUGCUACUGGGCUGCUGCUAACUGCUGCCUAGCUGUUCCGGAGCUGGUCUCCUGGAGCUGGGCUCCAAAGAUGGUUUGGUGGGAAUGGGCUUUCCCCUCUCCUUUAUAAAGCGUGUCCACCAUUAAAAAUUUGAACCUUGA
Molecule: long non-coding RNA, 6198 nt
Organism: Mus musculus (house mouse)
Lineage: Eukaryota; Metazoa; Chordata; Mammalia; Rodentia; Muridae
Product: predicted gene, 20559
Exons: 2
Source: RefSeq, a predicted model, not a curated record